AUAAACUUAUAUUGCCAUUUUCACUUGAUUUUGAAAUCAGUUCGCAUAACUUCAUCAUGAAAUCUUUCAUUAAUUUUUUUUCUUCUGACUGCUAAACUUUAGUUCUAAUUUGAAGUUGUUGGCUUGGACGUAUGCUUUCAUUUAAUCUUUAUGGCUCAAACAUGCUUCCCACAGUAUUCAUUCUCUUCAUCAUUCUUUUAGGAUGGUUUUAGUUUUGGCCUCAAGCGAGCUUCUUCCUUCUCCAAAGUGUUUGUGUGUAAGAGUGUAAAGUAAAUUACAUAAUUCAAUAUUUCGAGUGCAAAUGAGUUGAUAAACAAUCCAAGAUAAGCACAUCUCAGAGUUCAAGUGCCUUCUGUGUUGAUCAAGUGCAGAACUUAGAACAAAAAUUCUCUUUAAAUAGUUCUCACUCCAAAAUAAGCACAUUUCAAAAUUGUGGAAUCAUUGUAACAGUUGAGAGAAUAGUUUGAGAAUGGUCAUAAUCCGUCGAGUUGUGAGACAAUAGCGUCUGUUAUUGUUAGUGUUAUUAUAUUCCAUUUUAUGGAUAAAUAUUUUAACCAAUUCAUGUAUUAGAAUCUGUUAACUGCUUUAUAUGCUCUUACUUUUCAAGAAAUAUUCUUCAUUUUCUUCCAAAGUUCAGUUAGAUAGUCAUUACUUUUUUUUAUAGGGGGAAACAAUCGCGCUUUCAUUGAGAUGGAAAGAAUACAAACCAAAUCCACAAAAACUCCACUAAAGAAAGUUCUUCCCUGAUGGGGUUACUCAGUCCAUGCCAAGCAACAGAGACGAGCAUACAGAUAUGAGAGAUGGCGUUUCACAAGAUUAAGCUAAACAAUUUUUUUUCUAGAAUCAUAGGAAAGCCUGAGCAGGUUUUCCUUACCAUUAUUACUUUAACUACCUCGUUCUCUGUAUUGUAAAGAAAUCCUUAAUAUUUGUUUGUCAUUUGCACAUUGAAUUGGACCAGAUUGGGGUUAAUUAGAUUUUGGGGGUGAAAAUCGAAUUUAAUUAAGGAAAA
Benincasa hispida (wax gourd) is the source of this 1009-nucleotide non-coding RNA. NCBI's taxonomy places the organism in Eukaryota, Viridiplantae, Streptophyta, Magnoliopsida, Cucurbitales, Cucurbitaceae. The record is from RefSeq and is a predicted model, not a curated record.